AUGGAGGGUCUCUUCCAGCCCACCACGGUCGAUGCCGCAGCAACCAGUGGCGCCACCCCCACCCGCAUCUCAACCACUGCCGCCACUCCCACCAUCGAUGCGGCCGCAACCACCAAUACCUCCCGCUAUCCACCCUGGGUUCCCCUCGAGGAGGAGGCCAACCUCAAGGACUGCGAGAACGCCACCACCGCUGAAGCCCAGACGAGCACCGGCCACAUCGUCAAGGUGACCUUCGUUCUCGCGGACCCGCCGUCCGUCUCCCGCUUUUGCGUUCAUGGGCCUGAACUCAAAGGACGGAACUUCGACGCUGAGCCCCGGGUUGUUUUCUCGUAUAAUGACCACCUUCUCCUCCGCUUUGCCUUCACCCUCGGCCCCCGUAGUACCCUUCACGAAGCUCAUCUUUCCGAAUACUUUGUCUACAAGGCUUGCCCUGGCAAACCGUCAAUUACACCGAUCCCAACUGCUUAUCGACCUGACAAGGCUAAAUCAUAUCUCGCAAUCUUGCCGUGCAGCGACGACUACGAGAAUUUCGUUGUCGCUGAUCUCGCCAUGACACAAAACCUUGGGCACUAUGUCCUCCACAUCUUUUCAUCAAAGAUGAAGAAGUUGGUCGCCAAGCCAUUACAGUUGCAGGCAUCUUCUGUCGUGAUAGAGGAAGACCUGCCUAGUCUACCCCAUAAGGUGAUAGCGCUUGGAGCAGAUACCAUAGGUUGGAUCGACCUCUGGCGAGGCAUUGUUGUCUGCAACUUGUUUGACCCGGACCCCGUUCUUAAUUUUACCCCACUACCGAAGCCUGAAUUCAACUUGGAGCGGGAUGGUACUCCACGGCCAUACCGUGAUGUUACCUUCUGCAAUGGUUUUAUCAAGUUUAUGGAGAUUUAUCACUGUGUCAUACCUGAUAGUCAUGAUAGCGAUAACAUGAUGAAUUUCAAGACAAUGAAGGAUCUUGACAGCACAGAUGUCAUCUACGAUUCAGAGCUUUUCUUCCAAAACAGUACUGAUCUAAUGGAAGAUGAAGAACCCACUUUAAACGAUGCUUGGAAGAUACGCACAUGCUAUAGGCAUACUUCUUGGAACCUUUGGUGCAAGGGGCACAAUGUUCAUGUUGAUGACAUCUUGGUCAACAACCAGAUGCAUUCUAUGAUGUUGCCUGAGCUGUGGGAUGGUAGCACUGGAAAGUUCACUCUUAGGAAUCUGAUAACAGGUUACCCGACCCUUUGCAUUCAUAAUGGUGAUGUUGUCUACCUUGUUAGUAAGGUGGAGCUUUUUGGUAGUAAGGCAUGGGUGAUUGGCGUUGACCUUCAAAAGAAGACAGUGGAAGUAAUCAAACCAUAUUCUGCUCACAGAUGCAAUCUGUCCCAGACACCCUUCCUUGCCUGUACGUUCUCCAGAUAUUUAAAUACCACUCCAAGGUAUGUUUGUUCUUCUCACUCUCUUUGUGUAUUUCUAUUCCUUGAACCCCUGAACACCAUGAUAGAAUCUGUCCAUAUUCCCACAAAUUAUUUAUUAUACUAUAUGCUUUCUAACUAUUUGCUACAGGUCAUGUGUGCCAGAUGA
RNAcentral lists this ribosomal RNA (1557 nucleotides) under Triticum aestivum (bread wheat). RNAcentral's name for it is "partial small subunit ribosomal RNA". Lineage: Eukaryota; Viridiplantae; Streptophyta; Magnoliopsida; Poales; Poaceae. The record is from RNAcentral.